GCAUAUCAAUAAGCGGAGGAAAAGAAACCAACAGGGAUUGCCUCAGUAACGGCGAGUGAAGCGGCAAGAGCUCAAAUUUGAAAGCUGGCUCCUUCGGGGUCCGCAUUGUAAUUUGCAGAGGAUGCUUCGGGAGCGGCCCCCAUCUAAGUGCCCUGGAACGGGCCGUCAUAGAGGGUGAAAAUCCCGUCUGGGAUGGGGUGUCCGCGCCCGUGUGAAGCUCCUUCGACGAGUCGAGUUGUUUGGGAAUGCAGCUCUAAAUGGGUGGUAAAUUUCAUCUAAAGCUAAAUAUUGGCCGGAGACCGAUAGCGCACAAGUAGAGUGAUCGAAAGAUGAAAAGCACUUUGAAAAGAGAGUUAAACAGCACGUGAAAUUGUUGAAAGGGAAGCGCUUGCGACCAGACUCGCCCACGGGGUUCAGCCGGCAUUCGUGCCGGUGUACUUCCCCGCGGGCGGGCCAGCGUCGGUUUGGGCGGCCGGUCAAAGGCCCUCGGAAUGUAACGCCCCCCGGGGCGUCUUAUAGCCGAGGGUGCCAUGCGGCCAGCCCAGACCGAGGAACGCGCUUCGGCUCGGACGCUGGCAUAAUGGUCGUAAGCGACCCGUCUUGAAACACGGACC
RNAcentral lists this ribosomal RNA (614 nucleotides) under Penicillium oxalicum. RNAcentral's name for it is "eukaryotic LSU rRNA". It matches the Rfam family "Eukaryotic large subunit ribosomal RNA", at positions 38 to 667 of the family's 3401-position model. The record is from RNAcentral. Lineage: Eukaryota; Fungi; Ascomycota; Eurotiomycetes; Eurotiales; Aspergillaceae. RNAcentral also lists the same sequence under 3 other names.